AGAUCACCACGGUGACUUGCAAGCAACUCACUGUGCUUUGGUGCCGGACUGUCUGUAUUUUUAAUAUAGGUUCGAAAAGUUUUAGGGUAUAGUCAAGUACUUGUGAAGUCUCUGUAUGAGUCAAGAUGGGAUUGAUCACUCCUGAUUAACUUCAGAUAGAGAAUAUCUUACCGUGUUUCAAUUUAGCAAAACCUAGGCCUGGAUAAUCCUCCUGAGGAGUUACGGGAUUUAUAAAAUUUUGAAACACAAUAGAGAUA
Molecule: long non-coding RNA, 257 nt
Filed under: Elaeis guineensis (African oil palm)
Lineage: Eukaryota; Viridiplantae; Streptophyta; Magnoliopsida; Arecales; Arecaceae
Description: long non-coding RNA (EGUI_LNC033637)
Source: RNAcentral